CCUACGGGCGGCUGCAGUGGGGAAUUUUGGACAAUGGGGGCAACCCUGAUCCAGCCAUGCCGCGUAAGUGAAGAAGGCCUUCGGGUUGUAAAGCUCUUUCGGCCGGGAAGAAAUCGCUCAAGCUAAUACCUUGGGUGGAUGACGGUACCGGAAGAAGAGGCACCGGCUAACUACGUGCCAGCAGCCGCGGUAAUACGUAGGGUGCGAGCGUGAAUCGGAAUUACUGGGCGUGAAGCGUGCGCAGGCGGGGGAAUGCGCCGGGCGUAACCUGGGAACUGCGUUUGUGACUGUGGUGCUCGAGUGCGGCAGAGGGGGGUGGAAUUCCACGUGUAGCAGUGAAAUGCGUGGAGAUGUGGAGGAACACCGAUGGCGAAGGCAGCCCCCUGGGUCGACACUGACGCUCAUGCACGAAAGCGUGGGGAGCAAACAGGAUUAGAUACCCCGGUAGUC
Molecule: ribosomal RNA, 450 nt
Filed under: uncultured bacterium
Lineage: Bacteria
Description: partial 16S ribosomal RNA
Rfam family: Bacterial small subunit ribosomal RNA
Source: RNAcentral